This 484-nucleotide ribosomal RNA is filed under the name uncultured bacterium. RNAcentral's name for it is "partial 16S ribosomal RNA". It matches the Rfam family "Bacterial small subunit ribosomal RNA", at positions 30 to 507 of the family's 1533-position model. The record is from RNAcentral.
AUUGAACGCUGGCGGCAGGCCUAACACAUGCAAGUCGAGCGGAUGAAGGGAGCUUGCUCCUGGAUUCAGCGGCCGACGGGCGAGUAAUGCCUACGAAUCUGCCUGGUAGUUGGGGAUAACGUCCGGAAACGGGCGCUAAUACCGCAUACGUUCUGAGGGAGAAAGUGGGGGAUCUUCGGACCUCACGCUAUCAGAUGAGCCUAGGUCGGAUUAGCUAGUUGGUGGGGUAAAGGCCUACCAAGGCGACGAUCCGUAACUGGUCUGAGAGGAUGAUCAGUCACACUGGAACUGAGACACGGUCCAGACUCCUACGGGAGGCAGCAGUGGGGAAUAUUGGACAAUGGGCGAAAGCCUGAUCCAGCCAUGCCGCGUGUGUGAAGAAGGUCUUCGGAUUGUAAAGCACUUUUAGUUGGGAGGAAGGGCAGUAAGUUAAUACCUUGCUGUUUUGACGUUACCAACAGAAUAAGCACCGGCUAACUUCGUG